RNAcentral lists this ribosomal RNA (3059 nucleotides) under Streptococcus pneumoniae. RNAcentral's name for it is "bacterial SSU rRNA". The stretch from base 1518 to 3059 matches the Rfam family "Bacterial small subunit ribosomal RNA". The record is from RNAcentral. Lineage: Bacteria; Bacillati; Bacillota; Bacilli; Lactobacillales; Streptococcaceae.
AGAUUUUCGUUCUAUCAUGGAAUACACAGCUUUCUUUGUAGUAAUUAUUUACAUUUUUGACCAGUUGAUUGUUUCAGGUUUGAUUCGAUUUAUUAACAUUUUUUAGAAGAUUAGUGGAGUUAAUUACACUAGAAAUCUUCUAUUUAUGAAAGGAAAUAUCAUGGAUAGUUUUGAUAAAGGAUGGUUUGUUUUACAAACUUAUUCUGGUUAUGAAAAUAAGGUGAAAGAAAAUCUAUUACAACGUGCACAAACCUACAAUAUGUUGGAUAAUAUUCUACGCGUUGAAAUUCCAACACAAACAGUGCAAGUUGAAAAAAAUGGAAAGAGAAAAGAAGUAGAAGAAAAUCGCUUUCCAGGUUAUGUUCUUGUAGAAAUGGUCAUGACAGAUGAAGCUUGGUUUGUUGUUCGAAACACACCAAAUGUUACAGGAUUUGUCGGAUCACACGGAAACAGAUCAAAACCAACUCCAUUAUUGGAACAAGAAAUUCGUGACAUUUUGGUAUCUAUGGGACAAACUGUUCAAGAAUUUGAUUUCGAUGUUGAGAUUGGUCAAACUGUACGUAUUAUUGAUGGUGCUUUUGCAGACUACACUGGUAAGAUUACAGAAAUUGAUAAUAACAAAGUGAAAAUGAUUAUCUCUAUGUUUGGUAAUGACACAGUUGCAGAAGUAAACCUAAACCAAAUCGCAGAAUUAUAACCCUGAGAGAGGCUGGAGCCUCUCUUUUUUGUGCAGUUUAGGAGCUAAAGGGAACAGAAUGGAGAAAAUGGAACAAAUGUGUUUUCUAAUCUGUUAGACUGUAUCUAGAAAGGGGAAAAUUAUGAUUAAAGAAUUGUAUGAAGAAGUCCAAGGGACUGUGUAUAAGUGUAGAAAUGAAUAUUACCUUCAUUUAUGGGAAUUGUCGGAUUGGGACCAAGAAGGCAUGCUCUGCUUACAUGAAUUGAUUAGUAGAGAAGAAGGACUGGUAGACGAUAUUCCACGUUUAAGGAAAUAUUUCAAAACCAAGUUUCGAAAUCGAAUUUUAGACUAUAUCCGUAAGCAGGAAAGUCAGAAGCGUAGAUACGAUAAAGAACCCUAUGAAGAAGUGGGAGAGAUCAGUCAUCGUAUAAGUGAGGGGGGUCUCUGGCUAGAUGAUUAUUAUCUCUUUCAUGAAACACUAAGAGAUUAUAGAAACAAACAAAGUAAAGAGAAACAAGAAGAACUAGAACGCGUCUUAAGCAAUGAACGAUUUCGAGGGCGUCAAAGAGUAUUAAGAGACUUACGCAUUGUGUUUAAGGAGUUUACUAUCCGUACCCACUAGUAAGUCAUGCAAAAAAAAUGAAAAAAAUUAGAAAAAGUAGUUGACAAAGUUUGAAAAGACUGUAUAAUAGUAAGAGUUGAAAAUAACAACUCAGGUCCGUUGGUCAAGGGGUUAAGACACCGCCUUUUCACGGCGGUAACACGGGUUCGAAUCCCGUACGGACUAUGGUAUGUUGCGUCAGGACCACUUGAUGAAAAAAAGUUUAAAAAAGCUUAAAAAUCUUCAAAAAAGUGUUGACAAGUGAAAGUGGCUGUGAUAUACUAAUAUAGUUGUCGCUUGAGAGAAGCAAGUGACAAAGACCUUUGAAAACUGAACAAGACGAACCAAUGUGCAGGGCGCUACAACAUAAGUUGUAGUACUGAACAAUGAAAAAACAAUAAAUCUGUCAGUGACAGAAAUGAGUNGAUGUUGCAUGACAUUUGCUUAAAAGGUGCACUUGCAUCACUACCAGAUGGACCUGCGUUGUAUUAGCUAGUUGGUGGGGUAAGGGCUCACCAAGGCGACGAUACAUAGCCGACCUGAGAGGGUGAUCGGCCACACUGGGACUGAGACACGGCCCAGACUCCUACGGGAGGCAGCAGUAGGGAAUCUUCGGCAAUGGACGGAAGUCUGACCGAGCAACGCCGCGUGAGUGAAGAAGGUUUUCGGAUCGUAAAGCUCUGUUGUAAGAGAAGAACGAGUGUGAGAGUGGAAAGUUCACACUGUGACGGUAUCUUACCAGAAAGGGACGGCUAACUACGUGCCAGCAGCCGCGGUAAUACGUAGGUCCCGAGCGUUGUCCGGAUUUAUUGGGCGUAAAGCGAGCGCAGGCGGUUAGAUAAGUCUGAAGUUAAAGGCUGUGGCUUAACCAUAGUAGGCUUUGGAAACUGUUUAACUUGAGUGCAAGAGGGGAGAGUGGAAUUCCAUGUGUAGCGGUGAAAUGCGUAGAUAUAUGGAGGAACACCGGUGGCGAAAGCGGCUCUCUGGCUUGUAACUGACGCUGAGGCUCGAAAGCGUGGGGAGCAAACAGGAUUAGAUACCCUGGUAGUCCACGCUGUAAACGAUGAGUGCUAGGUGUUAGACCCUUUCCGGGGUUUAGUGCCGUAGCUAACGCAUUAAGCACUCCGCCUGGGGAGUACGACCGCAAGGUUGAAACUCAAAGGAAUUGACGGGGGCCCGCACAAGCGGUGGAGCAUGUGGUUUAAUUCGAAGCAACGCGAAGAACCUUACCAGGUCUUGACAUCCCUCUGACCGCUCUAGAGAUAGAGUUUUCCUUCGGGACAGAGGUGACAGGUGGUGCAUGGUUGUCGUCAGCUCGUGUCGUGAGAUGUUGGGUUAAGUCCCGCAACGAGCGCAACCCCUAUUGUUAGUUGCCAUCAUUUAGUUGGGCACUCUAGCGAGACUGCCGGUAAUAAACCGGAGGAAGGUGGGGAUGACGUCAAAUCAUCAUGCCCCUUAUGACCUGGGCUACACACGUGCUACAAUGGCUGGUACAACGAGUCGCAAGCCGGUGACGGCAAGCUAAUCUCUUAAAGCCAGUCUCAGUUCGGAUUGUAGGCUGCAACUCGCCUACAUGAAGUCGGAAUCGCUAGUAAUCGCGGAUCAGCACGCCGCGGUGAAUACGUUCCCGGGCCUUGUACACACCGCCCGUCACACCACGAGAGUUUGUAACACCCGAAGUCGGUGAGGUAACCGUAAGGAGCCAGCCGCCUAAGGUGGGAUAGAUGAUUGGGGUGAAGUCGUAACAAGGUAGCCGUAUCGGAAGGUGCGGCUGGAUCACCU